UUCUCUGUUGGAGUUUCCGAUCCGAAGGAGGGAAAGGCUGCAUCUUCUGUCAUUUGUCAUAUAUUCUUAACAUUUCGGAUGUUAGAACUUACUUUUCCUCUCAAAUAUUAUUAGUAUGAUUAAGGUCAAAUAGUAAACCAAAAUUGACAAACUGAUCUAUUUUAAUUGGCAGUUUAUGUGAAUUUGUACGUGAAUGAAAAGGUUCAAUUGAGAAUACACAUUGUCAUAUAUGCUACUGGUGCACCUAAUCACACCAAAUUGUUUGAAAGGCAUUCACAUGAACAAAAAUUCUGAAUUCUCUUGACCACAAAGCAAUCAGGCAUGAGAAGUAAAACGAGGAGCCGAGGAGCUCACCAUGUGUUCGAUACAGUGCCUCGCUCAGCGAGGAAAGCCUACGAGGCCAAUCAACUUGAUCAACGGUCCAACGACGACCAAACGCCUCCGAAGCUGCAUUUCAGUAGAUAUAAAUUCCAAGCGUAAAGCGAAAUUGAUGAAGAAAACAGAAUGAGUCGUUGAGCUUCGUCUUCCUCACCGGACCAAGUAAGCACAAUUUUCGCAUUUUAGAGGUGUUUGGCUACUGUGAAGGAUGAAGCUCCUCAAAUUGUUGUUGUGAUUGGAAGCUCUGGAAAUUCGAGAGAAGAAGAAUCGAGAAACGAAUAAUCGACGCGACUACAACACGUUGCGUGGUGGGGUUAAGUAGAUGAAAACGGUGUCGUUCGGCAACAUAUUUACUUACUGACUUUCAGAUAUUCUGGUCCCGACACGUACGGACGCCCCUGAUCUUUCUUCAACCAACGAAGAGGAUCGGUGAGCUCUGCAGUUUGGACUUCCAUGGCGACUAGCUGUGGGCUCUUCACCGGUCUGAGACGGUGCUCCCCACACUUCGCGAACUCAGUCGGGUGGAGGAGGCAGCUGUCGUCGCUCUGCUCUUCGUCUUCCCCAGUUGAAAGGCGCAAGGACGACGAGCUCAAGAGCAAGAUUUUUGGGCUAAAAAAUCCGGGUCGGAGCGCAACCACUGUGAUUCAGAAAUGGGUCGACCGCGGCAACAAGGUCUCUGUUCUGGAACUCCGUCGCAUUUCCAUUCAACUCUUGAAAUCUAAGCGCUUCGACCAUGCCCUCCAGGUUUCAAUUCUUCGUUUGUUUGCACAAAAUAUGCUUAAAGCUUGAAGAUUAGGAUAUUUUGUAGAGUUUUUCAAUCGAAAUUUCUUCCUUUUCA
Molecule: long non-coding RNA, 1216 nt
Filed under: Prunus persica (peach)
Lineage: Eukaryota; Viridiplantae; Streptophyta; Magnoliopsida; Rosales; Rosaceae
Description: long non-coding RNA (PPER_LNC001582)
Source: RNAcentral